GUUCUGCUAGACAAACAGGUAAAGUCCCUACCCUUUCAAGGUAGGGUUUGCGGGUUCGAUCCCCGCACAGAACGCCA
RNAcentral lists this transfer RNA (77 nucleotides) under Escherichia phage TrudiGerster. RNAcentral's name for it is "tRNA-Glu". It matches the Rfam family "tRNA". From Rfam's summary of the family: Transfer RNA (tRNA) molecules are approximately 80 nucleotides in length. Their secondary structure includes four short double-helical elements and three loops (D, anti-codon, and T loops). The record is from RNAcentral. Lineage: Duplodnaviria; Heunggongvirae; Uroviricota; Caudoviricetes; Demerecviridae.